ACUAUUGAAAAAGCGCUGGUGCUUAGCUAGAUGCUAAGCAGACGAGGAAGAGGUUUAUCGAGCAGUCAGCGGAUACCUCUCGGCAACUGCGGCCGUAAGCUAAGCCGACAAAGCCACAGGGCGACCUGCGGGACAAAACGGCGGCAGGCAGAC
RNAcentral lists this non-coding RNA (153 nucleotides) under Sporomusa malonica. Its description in RNAcentral is "GlcN6P sequence". It matches the Rfam family "glmS glucosamine-6-phosphate activated ribozyme aptamer". From Rfam's summary of the family: This entry contains a glucosamine-6-phosphate activated ribozyme that is found in the mRNA for GlmS. GlmS is an enzyme that uses fructose-6-phosphate and glutamine to generate glucosamine-6-phosphate. The record is from Rfam by way of RNAcentral. Lineage: Bacteria; Bacillati; Bacillota; Negativicutes; Selenomonadales; Sporomusaceae.